RNAcentral lists this ribosomal RNA (1066 nucleotides) under Enterococcus faecium. RNAcentral's name for it is "bacterial SSU rRNA". It matches the Rfam family "Bacterial small subunit ribosomal RNA", at positions 173 to 1226 of the family's 1533-position model. The record is from RNAcentral. Lineage: Bacteria; Bacillati; Bacillota; Bacilli; Lactobacillales; Enterococcaceae.
AUAACAAUCAAAACCGCAUGGUUUUGAUUUGAAAGGCGCUUUCGGGUGUCGCUGAUGGAUGGACCCGCGGUGCAUUAGCUAGUUGGUGAGGUAACGGCUCACCAAGGCCACGAUGCAUAGCCGACCUGAGAGGGUGAUCGGCCACAUUGGGACUGAGACACGGCCCAAACUCCUACGGGAGGCAGCAGUAGGGAAUCUUCGGCAAUGGACGAAAGUCUGACCGAGCAACGCCGCGUGAGUGAAGAAGGUUUUCGGAUCGUAAAACUCUGUUGUUAGAGAAGAACAAGGAUGAGAGUAACUGUUCAUCCCUUGACGGUAUCUAACCAGAAAGCCACGGCUAACUACGUGCCAGCAGCCGCGGUAAUACGUAGGUGGCAAGCGUUGUCCGGAUUUAUUGGGCGUAAAGCGAGCGCAGGCGGUUUCUUAAGUCUGAUGUGAAAGCCCCCGGCUCAACCGGGGAGGGUCAUUGGAAACUGGGAGACUUGAGUGCAGAAGAGGAGAGUGGAAUUCCAUGUGUAGCGGUGAAAUGCGUAGAUAUAUGGAGGAACACCAGUGGCGAAGGCGGCUCUCUGGUCUGUAACUGACGCUGAGGCUCGAAAGCGUGGGGAGCAAACAGGAUUAGAUACCCUGGUAGUCCACGCCGUAAACGAUGAGUGCUAAGUGUUGGAGGGUUUCCGCCCUUCAGUGCUGCAGCUAACGCAUUAAGCACUCCGCCUGGGGAGUACGACCGCAAGGUUGAAACUCAAAGGAAUUGACGGGGGCCCGCACAAGCGGUGGAGCAUGUGGUUUAAUUCGAAGCAACGCGAAGAACCUUACCAGGUCUUGACAUCCUUUGACCACUCUAGAGAUAGAGCUUCCCCUUCGGGGGCAAAGUGACAGGUGGUGCAUGGUUGUCGUCAGCUCGUGUCGUGAGAUGUUGGGUUAAGUCCCGCAACGAGCGCAACCCUUAUUGUUAGUUGCCAUCAUUCAGUUGGGCACUCUAGCAAGACUGCCGGUGACAAACCGGAGGAAGGUGGGGAUGACGUCAAAUCAUCAUGCCCCUUAUGACCUGGGCUACACACGUGCU